Molecule: ribosomal RNA, 505 nt
Filed under: Salmonella enterica
Lineage: Bacteria; Pseudomonadati; Pseudomonadota; Gammaproteobacteria; Enterobacterales; Enterobacteriaceae
Description: partial 23S ribosomal RNA
Rfam family: Bacterial large subunit ribosomal RNA
Source: RNAcentral
UCCUGUCUGAAUAUGGGGGGACCAUCCUCCAAGGCUAAAUACUCCUGACUGACCGAUAGUGAACCAGUACCGUGAGGGAAAGGCGAAAAGAACCCCGGCGAGGGGAGUGAAAAAGAACCUGAAACCGUGUACGUACAAGCAGUGGGAGCCCCACCACUAAGCCAGUGGUGAACUCCACAUACGCAUCCUUUGCUGAGGAUACGGUUAACGGAGCGAAAGCGACGUUCAACCUCAAAAGAAGCAGAGGGGGCUUAGUGGUGGGGUGACUGCGUACCUUUUGUAUAAUGGGUCAGCGACUUAUAUUCUGUAGCAAGGUUAACCGAAUAGGGGAGCCGGAGGGAAACCGAGUCUUAACCGGGCGUUAAGUUGCAGGGUAUAGACCCGAAACCCGGUGAUCUAGCCAUGGGCAGGUUGAAGGUUGGGUAACACUAACUGGAGGACCGAACCGACUAAUGUUGAAAAAUUAGCGGAUGACCUGUGGCUGGGGGUGAAAGGCCAAUCAAAC